Molecule: ribosomal RNA, 2664 nt
Filed under: Triticum aestivum (bread wheat)
Lineage: Eukaryota; Viridiplantae; Streptophyta; Magnoliopsida; Poales; Poaceae
Description: partial small subunit ribosomal RNA
Source: RNAcentral
AUGGACCAUUCCAUCCCUUUUUCCCGUGCAUAUGCAUCGGACUCGGAUGACGAUGGUCCCGAUGAACAAGUUGAUGCGGAGGGGUUCACGGUGAAGGAGGCCGAAGCUUUCGAGAAGGUAUUUGGUCGGGAUCAUCGGACUACAUUGUUCAAGGAUGUUAGUCUCGCGGAUGAAGCCGUGGUAGAUGGUGGCCAAUGUGUAGCUCUUGGGGUUAGGCCAAGCUCUCACCGUGAUUUGGUAGACGACAAGAACCGGAUUGCUAAAGGUUCUAAGUUCGACAGCUUGUUGGAUUUGAAGAUGUGGCUCGACAACUACUCGGUUACGCAUUAUCGUCCACACAAGGUGGUGCACUCGGACGUUAAUGUGCGCUACACGGUUGCAUGUGCAUGUGAAGAUGAAAAGGAGGUCCAACUUGGACUUACAAGAGGCCGUGGUGGUGGUAGAGGUCGUGGAAAGGAGGUCCAACAAGGAGUGGCAAGACGCCGUGGCGGUUGUCCGUGGAUUGUGCGCGCAAGACCAUGGAAAGGAGGUCCUACUUGGCAUGUAGUGAGUUGUGUGCCAACUCACAUGUGCCAAGGCAAAAGGGUGGAUGGCAAGAUUGUGUCCCAAGACCACAAACAACUCACGUCCGAGUUCAUCGCUUACAGGCUCUCGAACUCAAUAUCCACACUUCCAACAAUGAGCGUCCAACAUGUCAUUGACCUUGUGAAAGCCAUCUUUCAUUACCAGGUGAAAUACGGCAAGGCAUGGAAGGCGAAGCAAGCCGCAUUUAAGAUGUUGUAUGGUACAUGGGAGGAAGCAUACAACCGAAUCCCUAGGUUGUUGUUAGCCAUGGCCGCGACAAACCCGGGCAUGGUUCAUGUGGUCGAGCCUCAUGGGCACCAAACAACGGUUCAUGAAGGAAGGAAAGUCAGAGUAUUUGGCCGUGCUUUUUGGGCGCUCGAGCAAUGUGUGAGGGCUUUCGAACAUUGUAGGCCGGUCAUCGCAAUUGAUGGCACGUUCUUGACCGGACAAUACAAGGGCACCUUGUUGGUUGCGAUAGCAAGUGAUGCCAAUAACCGGGUGUUGCCAUUAGCAUUUGCUUUGGUUGAGGUGGAAAACAAUGACAACUGGGAGUGGUUUCUGCAUCUUUUGAGGAUGAAGGUGUUACCCGCUCAAAGGGAAAUUUGUGUCAUAUCGGAUCGGAAUCAAGGAAUUCUUAACGCCGUGGAGAUUGACAUUCCCGGGCAUGCUCCGUUGCACCAUCGAUGGUGCAUGAGGCACUUUUGUUCGAACUUCUAUAGGGCAUGUGGCCUUAAGGAGUUGGCCGAUGAUCUUCAAGAUUGUUGUCUCGCUUUCUCCGAUAAGCGCUUCGCCACUUUGUACAACAAAUUGCUCGCACACAAAAAACUUGAUCCCGGGGGUCAAGAGUUUCUCAAUAGGCACAUUCAAUACCGGAACAAGUGGGCACGUGCUUUUGAUGAAGAUGGCCGGAGAUACGGUCAAAUGACAAGCAAUAUGGCCGAAUGCUUCAAUAGGGUGCUCAAAGGUGCACGUGGAUUACCCGUGAUGGCAAUAGUUCAAUACACAUUUGACAAGAUGAAUGCGUACUUUGUAAAGUACUCGAUGGAAACCGAUGCACAGAUAGCGGGUGAGAACCCACGGAAGUACAAGUACAAGUUCCCACCCAAAGUUGAUGAAUGGUUGCUAUUUCAAUCACGGAAGGCGGACUCAGAAGAAGCUAUAUUAUAUGACAAUGAGGAGUGGAAGUACGAAGUGAAAGAGCCAGGAGGAACCACAAACGAUGGCCGGCAACAUGGAGGUCGGGCUUUCAAGGUGUCGUUAACACAAUGUGAUUGCACUUGCGGGAGGCCAUUGUUGCUUCAUCUCCCAUGCUCACAUUUGUAUGCCGCCGGCCGCGUUAGGAAUGUGGACAUCAAUCACCCACACACCGUGAGGGAGUCCCAGUUCUCAAUCAUGACGGUCAAGAAAACAUGGGCUCCCCGCUUUCACCCAUACUUUGACCAAUCACAAUGGCCGGAGUAUCAUGGAGUUCAACUAUGGCCGGAUCCGGAGUUGAAGGUUGUUAAACGGGGUAGACGUAAGACAAAGCGUCUGAGAGGCGACAUGGACGGAUGGGGCCAUGGUGGGCGCCGCGAAGCGGGCAACGACCAAUUCCAAGAGCCUCGUGAGAGCUCCCGUUGUGGGGAGUGCAAAGGUCAUGGCCACAACAAAAGAAAAUGUACGAAACCAAGGAAAAGGUCCAAGAAAAAUGAUGCAAGCACAAGCCAACAUGGAGCUACACAAGGGAGCCAACCAAGUGGUCGCCAACCUAGUGGUCGCCAACCUAGUGGUAGCCAACCAAGUGGUAGCCAACAAGUGCGAAGCCAACCAAGUGGUAGCCAACCUAGUGGUAGCCAACAAGUGCCAAGGCAACCAAGUGGUACCCAACAAGUGCCUAGCCAACCAAGUGUUAGCCAAAGAGGUCGGCAAGUUGGACUUACAAGAGGCCGUGGUGGUGGUAGAGGUGGUGGUGGUGGUCUCGGCCGUGGUGGUGGAAGAGCUCGACGUGGUGGUAAUGGCCGUGGUGAUGGUCUCGGCCUUGGUGAUGGUCUUGGCCUUGGUGGUGGACUUGGCCGUGGUGAUGGACAAGCGCAAGUUCGUUAUAGAGAAAUGUUUGGAUAA